RNAcentral lists this transfer RNA (66 nucleotides) under Somanniathelphusa boyangensis. Its description in RNAcentral is "tRNA-Arg". The record is from RNAcentral. Lineage: Eukaryota; Metazoa; Arthropoda; Malacostraca; Decapoda; Parathelphusidae.
AAUUAGAAAGCGAAAAUUGCAUUUAGUUUCGACCUAAACACUGGCUAUUUUAUUAGCCUCUAAUUU